AACAAGGCGUACCUGCGGACCUGCGGAGGGAUCAUUACCAGAGUGCCCUAGGCUCUCCAACCCAUUGUGAACUUACCAAACGUUCCCUCGGCGGGCUCAGCGCGCGGCGGCCUCCGGGCCUCCGGGCGUCCGCCGGGGAAAACCAAACCCUGAUUUAAUCGUAUUUCUCUGAGGGGCGAAAGCCCGAAAACAAAAUGAAUCAAAACUUUUAACAACGGAUCUCAGAUCGGAAGAGCACAC
RNAcentral lists this unclassified non-coding RNA (240 nucleotides) under soil metagenome. RNAcentral's name for it is "partial contains 5.8S ribosomal RNA, internal transcribed spacer 2, and large subunit ribosomal RNA". The record is from RNAcentral.